This 372-nucleotide ribosomal RNA is filed under the name uncultured organism. RNAcentral's name for it is "bacterial SSU rRNA". It matches the Rfam family "Bacterial small subunit ribosomal RNA", at positions 526 to 896 of the family's 1533-position model. The record is from RNAcentral.
CAGAGACUGCAAGCGUUAUUCGGAUUCACUGGGCGUAAAGGGUGCGCAGGCGGCCAUGUGUGUAAGGCGUGAAAGCCCGGGGCUUAACCCCGGAAUUGCACCUCAAACUACAUGGCUAGAGCAUUGGAGAGGGUAGCAGAAUUCAUGGUGUAGCAGUGAAAUGCGUAGAUAUCAUGAGGAAUACCAGAGGCGAAGGCGGCUACCUGGACAAUUGCUGACGCUCAGGCACGAAAGCGUGGGGAGCAAAAGGGACUAGAUACCCCUGUAGUCCACGCCCUAAACGGUGCACACUAGGUCUUGGCGGAUUCGACCCCCCCAGGGCCCAAGCUAACGCGUUAAGUGUGCCGCCUGAGGACUACGGCCGCAAGGCUA